Molecule: ribosomal RNA, 255 nt
Filed under: uncultured bacterium
Lineage: Bacteria
Description: partial 16S ribosomal RNA
Rfam family: Bacterial small subunit ribosomal RNA
Source: RNAcentral
UACGGGGGGGGGCAAGCGUUGUUCGGAAUUACUGGGCGUAAAGGGCGCGUAGGCGGUUCGAUAAGUCAGCUGUGAAAACCAUGGGCUUAACUCAUGGCCUGCAGUUGAGACUGUCGGGCUGGAGUGUGGGAGAGGAGAGUGGAAUUCCUGGUGUAGCGGUGAAAUGCGUAGAUAUCAGGAGGAACACCGGUGGCGAAGGCGGCUCUCUGGACCACAACUGACGCUGAGGCGACGAAAGCUAGGGGAGCAAACAGG